UACGGAGAGUGCAAACGUUGUUCGGAUUCACUGGGCGUAAAGGGCACGUAGGCGGCUCGGCAAAUCGGUCGUGGAAUCCCGACGCUUACCGUCGGAACGGCGGCCGAAGAUACCGGGCUCGAGGGCGUGAGGGGUCACUGGAACUCCUGGUGAAGCGGUGAAAUGCGUAGAUAUCAGGAGGAACGCCGGAGGCGAAAGCGAGUGACUGGCGCGUUCCUGACGCUGAGGUGCGAAAGCUAGGGGAGCAAACAGG
This 253-nucleotide ribosomal RNA is filed under the name uncultured bacterium. RNAcentral's name for it is "partial 16S ribosomal RNA". It matches the Rfam family "Bacterial small subunit ribosomal RNA", at positions 524 to 776 of the family's 1533-position model. The record is from RNAcentral.